Molecule: long non-coding RNA, 579 nt
Filed under: Mytilus galloprovincialis (Mediterranean mussel)
Lineage: Eukaryota; Metazoa; Mollusca; Bivalvia; Mytilida; Mytilidae
Source: RNAcentral
CAAAAAAUAUUCAAAGAGGCAGAAAAUGAGUUCAAAUAUUGCAAUUUCAACUCAAUCUUGAAAUGGUUUUUAUACCAUUUAUUGAUUAAACAAGUCACAUCUCUUUUAAGGCUAAUAUUCAGUACCACAGUAAAUCUGCAUCUUUCAACGGAUUAUGUGUAGGUGUAGGGUCACCAAUACACCCACUUCAAUAGACCACUUUCGAGUUCAUCCAUCACCGGAAAAAACUCGUCAAUUAUACGCGCCUUUAUGACGUCAUUUACCAGAUAGAGGGGGUCGCCUGUAUCCCUGCACUAUUUACGUUCAUCAAGCGUCUUGGUGAUCGUCAUUGUGCAUGAUAAACUAGAAAUAAUGGUUGUUCUGUAGGUACUUAAUGACAAUUCCCUAAUGACAUCAAUGCUGAUUGUCAAUUUUGAGAAUUCAAUUUGUCGUAUAAUUCGUACAAUAUAGAAUUAUAGUUUUCCAACCACUCGCUCAACAUUGGAAUGGAAGUGACGACGCCCCUAAACGCACAAAUGACGUUCACUAAAACCAGAGUUUUUGACGGAAAUGCAUCGAACUCGAAAGUUGUCUAUUAAG